AAGAAAUUGUGGUCAGAGGUUAGUCACAACAAAAUACUCUGUCUCUAUUUUUAACAUGUUCGGAAAUCCAGCCCCGCGAGAAACGUUCAAGCAAUUUUAACGUCGCCAGCAAGGAAGUGUAAACAGCAAGAUCUACAACAAUUUUGCAUUGAUUCAAUUCAUCUGCAUUCAUUCAUCAUUAAUUCGGUUGCUUUAUAAAACUUAGUUUGGCUCACUUAUUUGCGCAAUAAUUUCAUUACUCGUACAGUAAAACACGUUGUGGGGUUAGUUGGUUCAUAGCUUUCAAAAGAUGAAGUGCCAAACAAAGACAACACAAUAAAGAAAGAACAAAGACAGGACAAAGCGCCUUGUCCUGCCUUUGUUCUUAGUGUGCUGUCUCUGCUGGCGCUUCAUCUUUUGAAAUUCAUUAGCCUAUGCUGCUUUAAAAAAAUCACCACACAUGUUAAUCACGCCUUACUGAUUCGAUCGAAACAGAGAUGUCUAAGUUUGCGUUCUGCUACGUUGUUUUAACAGAAAAAACAAUCCGGCUUCGGGACACGCUUGUAGAGUAAAAAAAAUAAAACAGUACGCUUUAUUCUAUUAGGGAGUAUUGUAAUAUUGUGUUGCACGGCAUGCGAGAGCAAAAAUAACAAUACCAGGGGCAAUAUUUCAUUAUUCACAAAUAACAAAUUAAUUUGUGCCCACUACAAUUAGCUGUCGGUCGUUAGCAACACGACAACGAUAAACACUGUUAGUAUCUUCCAGUCAUGGUUACGUGAAACAAUGCGAAUAGGCUCGUUAACGCUUUAUUGAGUUAAUAUGACAAGAAUCUAAUGUAACAGCUAAGUAUCGGCAUACUUGAAGUACUUUACGCCCCAGCUGAGAAAGGCUGUCGCAAUUUUUUUUGAGGUGAUGUACUGAUCUCAUGCUCGGUGCGCGGCAGUGGUUCCACAUGUUUCAUGGCAUAGUUCCAUUACUUGUGGCCACACAAAUUGUGCACCUAUGAAGAACAUAAAUAGAGGUUCCAACCGAUCACCUUGGCAAAGAAAACUGCGCAGGGAUACUCGAUCUAAAACGUCGCCGUAAAGAAGAUUAAGAAAACAUUAAAAUAAUUUAACGAUGAACAACGAUAAGGUAUAAGCAUGAGAGAUGUAAUAUCCAACAUCAUCAACUAAAACUCGAGGCCAAUGUUUUCGAGUAAACACGUUGAAAAGUUUGCGAAUUUUACUAAAUACGAGAUUCCAAGGUGCGAUAACACAAAGAGCACGAGAAACAACUGGCUUCGAGCAACUUACUCAGCGCAUAUAAUUGUGUACCUUCCACUGUGAAAUAUUUCUUGUUUGCAGUGCUUUCUCUGCCGACACCUUAAUUUUCACACCCUUCUCUUUAGCUGGUCGCUUUAACGAUAGCGAACAAACCAACGACUGACACACAUUUGUAGAGAGGCUCGUGGUGCAAGGAACGGAAACCCUGCUAAGCAUAUUCCUUUAGAGUUGAGUUUUGUCUGCGCAAAUAUAGAGACCCUCCGUCAUUUAGAGCAUCAACGCCUUUCGCAUAAAUCUCGCAAGCGGGAAUAACGUUAUGUCAAAAUGCUUCCGAUGUAUUUCUGAGGUUACGGAGAUGGUGACACCUUCGGUGGUUGUGGGGAACAAAGACCCGAUGACGCACGCUGGAUCUGGUUUACGUUAAGUCGGGUUUACGCUGGGUCAGGUUUACGCCAUGUCAUACGUGAACUGUGCACAUUUAGUUUGGAGUCCAAUGGUACCAGGAAAGAAAAACAAAGAUUGCUUCUUUGCAACCUGGGCAUGCUGGUUAAAAUAAAGUGGCGCAGUCUAUACGUGCCUGUGUUAGUUGGACCAGCGAAGCAAUUUCGCGUUGGAAAACUGUGUCAAAGCAAAUUUUGCCGAUUUCAGUUGUCCCCGAACUUUUGUUCGUGACUGUACAUUCGCGUAAACGCAACCAAUAGGUUCCCUAUAGAGCUGAAAUAUAAUCGAAACGGGGUGGAAAAGCAUGCAGUUAUGAGCUCGCCUCGGUGAACAAGCCUCCGAUCCAGCUUCCGGUCCAGAUUAUGCGUUAACAUAAUCUACCAGAAGUCACGCAACCAUGACAAGGCUAUUUGCACUGACGCAGCGCCCAGUUGGCGGUUUCAUUUAUUUGUAUUAAUUUCCUCAUUCGCUGUAAGGAAUACUUCCGAGCUAGAGAGCCAUAAAAAAAAUUAAACAUAUAAAGGUAAGAGAAUGUUUCCCUGCCUCCUCCUACCACACCUUUCCGACACUACUACGAACUUGAAUUUUCAGGUAAUGUCGAAAAAUAAGAAAUUUGCUGAGUUGAUCGAAGAGCGCAAAUAAUACUGUCCUCCUAAUGCGAGCACGCUUUGUCACACAUAGAAAUUGACGAAGUCAAUCUGCUUGAACGCAACGAUUGUAAGAAUGCAUUAACGAGAAGGUGCAACAUCCAUUAAAGUCUUGUUUGUGAAUAAAAGAAAUAACAUCAAAACAAAGAAAUAGCAAUCAAACUAAUUUCAUUGUUCGACAUCAAUGCGGCAAGUGGCUAACAAAAACAUGAAAUAUUUUAUAUUAAUACGGCUGUAACGAAAACACAAAUAAAAUAACGUAUUUCUUCCUCCAAGCUAUUAGCUGCGCUAGACUUCGUAUCGAAUUUAGACUGGAAUUAAAAUUAAUACAAACAAGAAAUAAAUUGAAGUUCUAGCUCGGAUAUUAACGCCACAUUGUUGCAGAAUGCUUCAAGUUUGUGGAGGUUACAGUGAUUGUAAAUUGUAGACGUGACAAAUUGCGGCCAUUGUUGUUUCUGUUAAAUAUUUACUCGAUGCGCUGUUAUCGAUGUUAUUGCGCAGUGUAAAAGGGUAACGAUUAAAAACUUUUUAAUUGGCCCACUUGGGCGAACGAGAAACGGUAUAAAACUCGAACAACAGGCGCUGUUUUUUUUUUUAUAUGCAAUCAGGUAACAAGCGAUGGGCGUUUAGCAAAAAGGACAAAAUAGCGCUUUUAUUCGGCCAUAUGCGGAGCUUUGAAAAAAACAAUUUAAACGAGCGCUUGCAUACACAUAGAGGUUACAGCAUUUGAGAAGGAACAAAUGCAGGCGAGCAGAAACUCGCCAUUAAAAUUGGAGCGUUGGGGGCCUCUCAGUUUUAUGUCUGUAAGAUGUCUGAAAUCGGGAUAACAUUCGGCGCCAGUGCUGUGAUUCUUAAUGUUCUGCGAUUCACGCCAACAGCCGAAAAUUCUCGUUCUAAAGGAAACGGCCCGUGCAAAAAAGAAAAAAAAAAAGAAAAAAGAAU
Long non-coding RNA from Dermacentor andersoni, 3274 nucleotides. RefSeq lists it as uncharacterized. NCBI's taxonomy places the organism in Eukaryota, Metazoa, Arthropoda, Arachnida, Ixodida, Ixodidae. The record is from RefSeq and is a predicted model, not a curated record.